This 574-nucleotide ribosomal RNA is filed under the name uncultured bacterium. Its description in RNAcentral is "bacterial SSU rRNA". It matches the Rfam family "Bacterial small subunit ribosomal RNA", at positions 58 to 629 of the family's 1533-position model. The record is from RNAcentral.
CAAGUCGAACGGUAACAGGAUGUGCUUGCACAUCGCUGACGAGUGGCGGACGGGUGAGUAAUGCUUGGGAGCUUGCCUUUGCGAGGGGGAUAACAGUUGGAAACGACUGCUAAUACCGCAUAAUGUCUUCGGACCAAACGGGGCUCCGGCUCCGGCGCAAAGAGAGGCCCAAGUGAGAUUAGCUAGUUGGUAAGGUAACGGCUUACCAAGGCGACGAUCUCUAGCUGUUCUGAGAGGAAGAUCAGCCACACUGGGACUGAGACACGGCCCAGACUCCUACGGGAGGCAGCAGUGGGGAAUAUUGCACAAUGGGGGAAACCCUGAUGCAGCCAUGCCGCGUGUGUGAAGAAGGCCUUCGGGUUGUAAAGCACUUUCAGUUGUGAGGAAAAGUUAGUAGUUAAUACCUGCUAGCCGUGACGNUUACAACAGAAGAAGCACCGGCUAACUCCGUGCCAGCAGCCGCGGUAAUACGGAGGGUGCGAGCGUAAAUCGGAAUUACUGGGCGUAAAGCGCACGCAGGCGGUUUGUUAAGCUAGAUGUGAAAGCCCCGGGCUCAACCUGGGAUGGUCAUUUA